GGAAGCGUGGCAGAGCGGCCGAAUGCAUCCGCCUUGAAAGCGGACGUACCGAAAGGUACCGGGGGUUCAAAUCCCUCCGCUUCCGCGA
Molecule: transfer RNA, 88 nt
Filed under: Kutzneria viridogrisea DSM 43870
Lineage: Bacteria; Bacillati; Actinomycetota; Actinomycetes; Pseudonocardiales; Pseudonocardiaceae
Description: Kutzneria albida DSM 43870 tRNA-Ser
Rfam family: tRNA
About the family: Transfer RNA (tRNA) molecules are approximately 80 nucleotides in length. Their secondary structure includes four short double-helical elements and three loops (D, anti-codon, and T loops). Further hydrogen bonds mediate the characteristic L-shaped molecular structure. tRNAs have two regions of fundamental functional importance: the anti-codon, which is responsible for specific mRNA codon recognition, and the 3' end, to which the tRNAs corresponding amino acid is attached (by aminoacyl-tRNA synthetases). tRNAs cope with the degeneracy of the genetic code in two manners: having more than one tRNA (with a specific anti-codon) for a particular amino acid; and 'wobble' base-pairing, i.e. permitting non-standard base-pairing at the 3rd anti-codon position.
Source: RNAcentral